This 1806-nucleotide ribosomal RNA is filed under the name Triticum aestivum (bread wheat). RNAcentral's name for it is "partial small subunit ribosomal RNA". Lineage: Eukaryota; Viridiplantae; Streptophyta; Magnoliopsida; Poales; Poaceae. The record is from RNAcentral.
AUGUUAGACACUGCUGGUUUAUCUAAGGCAUGGUGGGGGGAGGCUCUAUUGACUUCAUGUCAUGUCCUGAAUAGAGUUCCCAACAAUAAUAAAGAGAAAACCCCUUAUGAGGAGUGGGUUGGGAGAAAACCAUCACUUUCUUAUUUGCGCACUUGGGGAUGUUUGGCAAAGGUCAAUAUUCCUAUUCCUAAGAAACGCAAACUUGGACCAAAGACAGUGGAUUGUGUCUUUCUAGGGUAUGCUCAACGGAGCAUUGCUUAUAGGUUUUUAGUGGUAAAAUCUGAAGUACCUGAUAUGCAUGUUGAUACUAUAAUGGAAUCUCGUGAUGCAACAUUUUUUGAGAACAUAUUUCCUAUGAAAGAUAUGCAUAGCAUUGCUAGAUUUUCUUCUGAGAUAAUUCCUGAAUCUAGUACAACUGAUGAACAUUUCGAACAAUCACAUGAGGAAGUCCUUGAGAAGGAUAACAAUGAAGUUCCUAGAAGGAACAAGAGACAAAGGAUUGCAAAAUCCUUUGGUGAUGAUUUCAUUGUAUACCUUGUGGACAACACACCCAAGACGAUUGCAGAAGCAUAUGCAUCUCCGGAUGUAGAUGAUUGGAAAGAAGCUGUUCAUAAUGAGAUGGACUCAAUUCUUUCUAAUGGAACUUGGGAACUAACUGAUAGACCAUAUGGUUGUAAACCUGUGGGCUGUAAGUGGGUGUUCAAAAAGAAGCUAAAGCCUGAUGGUACUAUUGAUAAGUACAAGGCGCGGCUAGUGGCCAAGGGCUACACUCAGAAAGAAGGUGAAGAUUACUUUGACACCUAUUCACCCGUUGCUAGAAUGACCACCAUUCGAGUGUUACUUUCCUUGGCUGCCUCUUAUGGUCUUAUCAUUCAUCAAAUGGAUGUAAAGACAGCUUUUCUCAAUGGAGAGUUGGAAGAGGAGAUCUAUAUGGAUCAGCCUGACGGGUUUGUGGUAAAGGGUGAAGAGAGAAAGGUGUGCAAGUUGUUAAAAUCUUUGUAUGGUCUGAAACAGGCACCUAAGCAAUGGCAUGAGAAGUUUGAAAGAACUCUGACUUCUGCAGGAUUUGUCAUUAACGAGGCUGAUAGGUGUGUUUACUAUCGCCAUGGUGGGGGCAAUAGUGUCAUAUUAUGUUUGUAUGUGGACGACAUACUGAUCUUUGGUACAAACAUUAAUGCAAUUAAUGAGGUCAAGUCUUUUCUAUCAAAAAGUUUUGACAUGAAAGAUCUGGGAGAAGCCGAUGUAAUUCUAAACAUCAAACUUGUUAAGGAUGAGAGUGGGAUUACAUUAACGCAAUCUCACUAUGUUGAGAAGGUCUUGAACCGAUUCGGUUUUAUGGAUAGCAAGCCUUCUCCAACACCUUAUGAUCCCAGCGUGACACUCACAAAGAACAAGAAAGAAACGAGAGAUCAAUUAAGAUACUCUCAAAUUGUCGGUUCACUCAUGUACUUAGCUAGCGCUACAAGACCAGAUAUCUCUUUUGCUGUGAGCAAACUGAGUAGGUUCAUGUCCAACCCGGGUGAUGAUCAUUGGCAUGCACUAGAAAGGGUCUUGCGCUAUCUAAGAGGUACUAUGAGUUACGGAAUUACUUAUUCAGGGCAUCCUGCUGUGCUAGAAGGAUAUAGUGAUUCAAAUUGGAUCUCCGAUGUUGAUGUACUUUACGCAACAAGUGGGUAUGUAUUUACUCAUGGUGGUGGCGCAGUGUCAUGGAGGUCUUGCAAGCAAACCAUAUUGACGAGGUCAACUAUGGAAGCAGAAUUAACUGCUUUGGACACAGCUACUGUUGAGGCAGAAUGGCUGCGUUAG